This 409-nucleotide long non-coding RNA is filed under the name Panax ginseng (ginseng). RNAcentral describes it as "long non-coding RNA (PGIN_LNC009100)". The record is from RNAcentral. Lineage: Eukaryota; Viridiplantae; Streptophyta; Magnoliopsida; Apiales; Araliaceae.
CAAAUCUUUGUAAUGGAAGUUGGAACAAGGAUGAGACGCAUUAUUUUUCGUUAUUUCUGACCUUCUAAAUUAUCACUCAUUUUCAAAAUUAUCUUUAAAGUUCACUUUUUGUCAAUUAAAUCUUAAAAAUAAAAUUUUUUGAUAUUUCUGACUUCAACCCCGAUCCAUUUUUGACUCAAUUCGGCCCAAUUUGACCCAAGAUUAUUUAGAGGGGUAUAUUCAAUUAAGAUUUUUAAAGACUUUUUUUAAGUGAUAAACUUUUGUAGAGUUUGUGAAUUUUAAUAACUUUUAAAGACUAUUUUAAAAUGACUUUUAUAAAAUCCAUGAAUUAAGUGACAGAUUUUAAUAGACUUUUUAUCAAGAUUUUAAUAGACUUUUAUAUAUACUUCUAAUAUAUCUUGCAGCUUAU